UCCGUAGGCGGAAUAAUAAGUCAGUGGUGAAAGUCUGCAGCUCAACUGUAGAAUUGCCAUUGAUACUGUUGUUCUUGAAUUAUUAUGAAGUGGUUGGAAUGAGUAGUGUAGCGGUGAAAUGCAUAGAUAUUACUCAGAACACCUAUUGCGAAGGCAGAUCACUAAUAAUAUAUUGACGCUGAGGGACGAAAGCGUAGGUAGCGAACA
This 207-nucleotide ribosomal RNA is filed under the name uncultured bacterium. Its description in RNAcentral is "partial 16S ribosomal RNA". It matches the Rfam family "Bacterial small subunit ribosomal RNA", at positions 568 to 774 of the family's 1533-position model. The record is from RNAcentral.